RNAcentral lists this ribosomal RNA (466 nucleotides) under Vreelandella stevensii. Its description in RNAcentral is "partial 16S ribosomal RNA". It matches the Rfam family "Bacterial small subunit ribosomal RNA", at positions 338 to 795 of the family's 1533-position model. The record is from RNAcentral. Lineage: Bacteria; Pseudomonadati; Pseudomonadota; Gammaproteobacteria; Oceanospirillales; Halomonadaceae.
CCUACGGGCGGCAGCAGUGGGGAAUAUUGGACAAUGGGGGCAACCCUGAUCCAGCCAUGCCGCGUGUGUGAAGAAGGCCCUCGGGUUGUAAAGCACUUUCAGUGAGGAAGAACGCCUGGUGGUUAAUACCCAUCAGGAAAGACAUCACUCACAGAAGAAGCACCGGCUAAACUCCGUGCCAGCAGCCGCGGUAAUACGGAGGGUGCGAGCGUUAAUCGGAAUUACUGGGCGUAAAGCGCGCGUAGGUGGCUUGAUAAGCCGGUUGUGAAAGCCCCGGGCUCAACCUGGGAACGGCAUCCGGAACUGUCAAGCUAGAGUGCAGGAGAGGAAGGUAGAAUUCCCGGUGUAGCGGUGAAAUGCGUAGAGAUCGGGAGGAAUACCAGUGGCGAAGGCGGCCUUCUGGACUGACACUGACACUGAGGUGCGAAAGCGUGGGUAGCAAACAGGAUUAGAUACCCCAGUAGUC